RNA transcript from Monodelphis domestica (gray short-tailed opossum), 1967 nucleotides. It is a transcript of the gene named coiled-coil domain containing 198, with no coding region annotated. NCBI's taxonomy places the organism in Eukaryota, Metazoa, Chordata, Mammalia, Didelphimorphia, Didelphidae. The record is from RefSeq and is a predicted model, not a curated record.
ACCAGCCUUCCAGGAAGUGGCCCAAUGGGGUUGUGUGUAAUGAGGCAGAACCAGAAAGAUGUCUUGAACUAAAAUACUACUUUAAAAGCAACUGGAAAGAAAGUACCUUGAUAACAGGGCAAGUUGAAAGUCCAAGAUUCUCCUCAUUCUCAUCCACACGUAUUUUUAUAAUGUUUUUAAAGUAAAAUGGGGUCAAAACAUUCUAAGGCUUACCCUAGGGUGACCAAAGUGGCCCCUAUACAAGAUAAAUGCCCAUUAUCUUCCCCAGUCAACCACAGGGAGGUGCCAUUCAUUGACAAUCUAGAGAAACGAAGUAUAUAUCCAUUUGCAAAACUACAAGGACAGAAGAAAUCACCGAAGCAGCUGCCUCCACUGCGGGAGACUGAGAAUGGAAGAUAUUCUUCAGAUCUUAACAUGCCCAGGCCCAUGUCUUUUGAUAUAUCAGUGGAAAAGAGAGAAACAAGUAUUAUUAAGAAGCAUCCACCCCGAAGAUUUCAAAUAUUUGAACCUUUUGGACCAGAAAUCACCAAUGCUGAAAAGUUCUUGACACAUAAAGGAGCUGAGACUACCCCAAAGAAAAAGCAGGAUCUGGAAAAGAAAAUGCAAUCCCUAACAUACUCUUCUGGGAAAAGACAAUAUUUAAACAAAAUGAAAAUGUUGGAAAUGAACUGCAAGAAACAAGAGGCUCAGGCUGAGCUGAAGAGAAAUCUCCACAAAGACGCAAGAAUUAAUAAACACAAAGCUAAGAAAAUCCUGGAAAACAUGCAAAAAAAUGAUAGCAGAAAAAACUCUAUGACUAGAAAGUCUGAUGUACUCAUGAAUGGAAAUAAAGGAAAUGAACAGAAUAGAGAAUUUGCAAAGAAUCAUGAACAGAUUGAAUAUAAUCCCAGGAGGAGUGAUGUAUUGCGAAGAUGGUCCCUCAAACAACAAGUCCAAGAUGAAAUAUUCUGGGACAGUUCUAGCACCAGUUCAGAUGAUUUGGACAAAAAUGAAAGGAAAUCCUGGGGACUCUUGAGGACCAAGACACAAAGAAUCCCAGUUUUUGAUGAGCUCCUUGAUCAAGAGUGAAAAAUCUGAGACCCAAAGAGGUUACCUGAUGUGUCCAAGGUCAAGUGAGUAGUAAGUGGCAGAGCCAGGAACCUAUUUCAGAUAAAAGAUUUAAUGCUGAGGAAGAGAAUUGGGAGAAGUGUGAGAGAAGCACGAGAAAAUCAGUGUUGGUUCGUAAUUAAAAUCAAUGAAGACUGAGAUAUCUGGACCUUUUCCACACAGAGGGAAACCACACCACAGGGAUAGUGAAAUAUGGGAUCUUGCAGACAAAGUGUGAAGGGCAGAAUUUCUAGAGUCCCAUGAAGAUUGGAACAAGGUAUUCAGUACUUGUCAUUUUUUAAAUUAGCCAUAAUUCCCCUUCUGUACAAAAACAGGAAACUUAGUAAUAGGCUAAAUAGGUCACAUGCUAAGUUUAAUCAUCAAUUACCUUGUAGUCGAGGGUAGGGGAACAAAGAAAAGAAUAGAUCUUCCCUUAUAAUAUUCCAAUUUGUUCACUGUACGAUUAGUGACUGGAUUAAAUGUAGAGAUUCUACUCCAGCCCCCAAAAUGUUUGCCAGCUAUUUAAAUGUUGUGAUCCCAUUGUUUGCUAGAUCCCAUUUCCUACAAUUUGUUUUAACCUCAUUCCAUGACCCCUGACUAUCUGUGGGCCCAUUAUCCGUGGAUUCUUUUGAUUGACAACUGUAUCCAAUGCCUUUCAUUUUUAUAAUAAAGAUUCACAUGAUAACUGGUAAAGACAAAGAGUUAAUGGGGGAAAGGAAAUGUGUAUUAGGUGACAAAAAUUGAGGCUAAAGGUUUUACUUUUUAAAACUUUGUUAAAGUUUUCAUUUUCUAAGUAAAUGGUGUCAAUGGUCACAUCUAGCUCAGAAUCUUUGAUUCUGUAAAUUGAUCUCAGCUUUUAAACACACAAAGGAUAUUUUAUA